Long non-coding RNA from Meriones unguiculatus (Mongolian gerbil), 514 nucleotides. RefSeq lists it as uncharacterized. The transcript is spliced from 2 exons. Lineage: Eukaryota; Metazoa; Chordata; Mammalia; Rodentia; Muridae. The record is from RefSeq and is a predicted model, not a curated record.
CUGAAGAGAAGACAUGAACCUUGUGACAGAUAUGUGAAGUGGGGAUAGUCAGUGGAAGUGAGAGACCUUUAUUCUCAGGACCUGAAGCUCACUCCAAGUAGUGGCAGACUGGCCUGAACUGCAGGACACCUACCCAUCAGAGCAGGUGUGGGAUGUGGUUUUAUUUGCCUCCUGCCGGCUCUGUGACGAGUUCAUUUCCAGCUGCUGAUGUUUAAAUGUGAGGACUGUGGAGAGAGAAUAAAUGCCAAAGCCCAGAUAUUGUGGAGCUGAAAGAAAGAACAAUGCUGCUCCUGCUUCCCCUUCCUGCUCCUGGUUGCUGUUGUGAGACAAGAAGUUGGAGGUCUCCUGAAAUGAGGAUUGGACCCUACGACCCUAACCAGCAGAAAGCAGCUAAGAGAACCGUGCCCCCUCUCUCACUAACCCUUUCUCUCCCCUACUAGGUGUUGGGGUAUUGGAAGGGAUUGGGGUGGAGAAGGGACAAAGAGAUAUAAGAAAUAUAAAUAAAAGAGUUUUU